CGUGUAGGCGGCUAGACAAGUCAGAUGUGAAAUCCCUGGGCUUAACCCAGGACGUGCAUUUGAAACUGUUUGGCUUGAGUAAGGAAGAGGGAAGUGGAAUUCCUGGUGUAGAGGUGAAAUUCGUAGAUAUCAGGAGGAACACCGGUGGCGAAGGCGACUUCCUGGUCCUAUACUGACGCUGAGACGCGAGAGCGUGGGGAGCAAACAG
RNAcentral lists this ribosomal RNA (208 nucleotides) under uncultured Syntrophus sp. RNAcentral's name for it is "partial 16S ribosomal RNA". It matches the Rfam family "Bacterial small subunit ribosomal RNA", at positions 568 to 775 of the family's 1533-position model. The record is from RNAcentral. Lineage: Bacteria; Pseudomonadati; Thermodesulfobacteriota; Syntrophia; Syntrophales; Syntrophaceae.